GCCUUCAAAGGAGCCUUGUACACAAUCUCUAGGUGAGGAAUGACUUUGUAAUCCGAGGCAUAAGAUCUCAAAUUAACAGCCCAUUAUUAUGGAAGUUCUUUAUUGAUCGCCAAAAUGGGUUAGGUAUACCUGUUAACAAGAACCUGAGACCUGCCGAACAGCAGGUGCCAAAGAUGCUGCUGUAACACCACAGCCCUCCCAUCUUCCAUCCUCCACUGGCGCUGAGUGGCAGUCCCAUGUGACAGGAAGUGGAGGCAGAGCUGGGCCAGCCCAGGAGCCACGUGCUGGAGCCAGAUACUCUGUUUUUCUACAAAUGGAAAGUUUGUGGCAUCCUUGACUCAAGCAAAUUUUUCAGCACCAUUUUUCAAGAGCGUGUGCUCACUUCACCUCUCUGUAUCGUGUUUUGAUGCUUGUCCUGGAAACCAACCAUGAGCUGUGAUGAAAUCCAGGCAACUGAGUUGUGUUUCAGCCCAAAGCAGCAAAUGGAAUCCAGCUUCAGGACCAUCAUCUGACAUAGGGGAAGAAGACUUACAUAGAAGGCCUAACCAGCA
This 551-nucleotide long non-coding RNA is filed under the name Homo sapiens (human). RNAcentral describes it as "non-protein coding lnc-KCNC2-2:15". Lineage: Eukaryota; Metazoa; Chordata; Mammalia; Primates; Hominidae. The record is from RNAcentral.